RNAcentral lists this ribosomal RNA (512 nucleotides) under uncultured bacterium. RNAcentral describes it as "partial 16S ribosomal RNA". It matches the Rfam family "Bacterial small subunit ribosomal RNA", at positions 28 to 523 of the family's 1533-position model. The record is from RNAcentral.
GACGAACGCUGGCGGCGUGCCUAAUACAUGCAAGUUGAGCGCUGAAGGUUGGUACUUGUACCGACUGGAUGAGCAGCGAACGGGUGAGUAACGCGUGGGGAAUCUGCCUUUGAGCGGGGGACAACAUUUGGAAACGAAUGCUAAUACCGCAUAACAACUUUAAACACAAGUUUUAAGUUUGAAAGAUGCAAUUGCAUCACUCAAAGAUGAUCCCGCGUUGUAUUAGCUAGUUGGUGAGGUAAAGGCUCACCAAGGCGAGGAUACAUAGCCGACCUGAGAGGGUGAUCGGCCACAUUGGGACUGAGACACGGCCCAAACUCCUACGGGAGGCAGCAGUAGGGAAUCUUCGGCAAUGGACGAAAGUCUGACCGAGCAACGCCGCGUGAGUGAAGAAGGCCUUCGGGUUGUAAAGCUCUGUCGGAGGGGACGAAUGCGUCUGGGUGAAUAGCUCAGACGAAUGACGGUACCCUUAAAGGAAGCACCGGCUAACCUCGUGCCAGCCGCCGCAGUAA